UGGGGAAUUUUGGACAAUGGGCGAAAGCCUGAUCCAGCCAUGCCGCGUGUGUGAAGAAGGUCUUCGGAUUGUAAAGCACUUUAAGUUGGGAGGAAGGGUUGUAGAUUAAUACUCUGCAAUUUUGACGUUACCGACAGAAUAAGCACCGGCUAACUCUGUGCCAGCAGCCGCGGUAAUACAGAGGGUGCAAGCGUUAAUCGGAAUUACUGGGCGUAAAGCGCGCGUAGGUGGUUUGUUAAGUUGGAUGUGAAAUCCCCGGGCUCAACCUGGGAACUGCAUCCAAAACUGGCAAGCUAGAGUAUGGUAGAGGGUGGUGGAAUUUCCUGUGUAGCGGUGAAAUGCGUAGAUAUAGGAAGGAACACCAGUGGCGAAGGCGACCACCUGGACUGAUACUGACACUGAGGUGCGAAAGCGUGGGGAGCAAACAGGAUUAGAUACCCAUAGUCCCUGAGCGGGCUGGCAAGGCGCAU
This 470-nucleotide ribosomal RNA is filed under the name uncultured bacterium. Its description in RNAcentral is "bacterial SSU rRNA". It matches the Rfam family "Bacterial small subunit ribosomal RNA", at positions 355 to 825 of the family's 1533-position model. The record is from RNAcentral.